CAAAAAUAAACAUUAAAAAAUUUGUAUAAUAAUGAUGACAGUGCUAUUCUAUUAAUACCUAUUUGGGGGUGCUGGGGGUGGGGGGGGGGCUCUUUCUAUAUACCAAACCCUGGCUGAGCCUUUACAUUCACUGUCUCAUUUAAUACUUACAAAAUUGCAAAUAGAUCUAUAUCUUAUUGAUCUCUAUUUUAUGGGUAGAAAAUCAAAUUUCAGAGAAGUUAAGUAUUUGAACUAAUAUCACACCUCUAAUAAGAUUGAAGAACUAAGAUUCAGACUUAUCUUUAGUUCCCAGAACCUAUGCUCCAAUCAACCAAAUACAGAUAAGCAGUAUUAGUAAGAAACAAUACAUUUUGCAUAAUAAAGAUAAAAGACCAAGUAAACAAAGAUGAGCCUGAUGUAAAGUUUGAACAUGAAAUGUAAACUGUCAAGUGAUACACAAAAAGCAUUAUUUUGACUCUAAGUUUCCAACUAGUAAAGAAGAGAAAAUUGUUUCUUAAAAAUCUAUAGCAUCCACAAGGUAAAAAACAAGACAAAAGCAAACAAGGAAACAAAUCAAAAGCCAAACUCUGCUCAAGAGAGAAUAAGCAUCAUUAAUAGUAACAAAGAAUGAACAGAACCUAAAUCAUUUCCUAUAAAACUAGUGAUACUUAGGUCUAUAUUUGAAUCUGGAUACAUAAGGCAGAAUUUUCAGGAACUGUAAGAAAAGGGAAAUGGGAGACAAAAUUUUUCUUAGGCUGGAAGGAAAGAUAACCUUCAUGUAGGAAUCUCAUUUUUCACCUCUAGCAGCCUAUCUCUACAAUUACUUUAUCAAUUAUAAUUCCUCAUUGCUUAUCUUGUCUGUCUUCCAGGCAGAAGAAAAAGAAAGAACAAGGUCAUUUCUUUUGUUCUUCUACUUCUCGUCUCUUUAUUUUUCUUUUAGAACAGAGAGAAAGUUGAAACAACAGCUUCACUUUCUUCUCUAUGAUCAAAGUAAUAAAUAAACUAGUGAGUUAGAGACCAAGUGGCCUCUUUAUUACAAGAAUAUGAACAUAUAAGGUCAUGAAAAUGACUGCUUUGAUGAUAAUUAUAAAAACAGUAAUGAUUUCUUUGGUUCAUAAAACUCACACAUCCAUAGUUGUAUUCAUCAUAAUUGUUGCCUAAUCCCAAUGAAUGGUUCAAGCCAAAAAUGAAGACUGUCUUUCCCAUCUCCCUCUCUAUGAACUUCCACAUUGUAUCAUUUCCUAUUACUUUGACUUUCUGUCUAUGCCUUAAAUCUAUCCAUUCUCUCCCUCUCCAUUCCAACCCUUGUUUAGGCAACCAUCAUUUUUCAUCAACUAUGAUAAUACUUUCCUAAUAUAUGUGCUCCUCCCACCUAUCAGUCCCCACUCUGCAGUAAGAGGCAAUGUGUUUGAGAUGCAUGUUGAUCAUUCCACUCUUGUAUUUAAAAACCUUUUGGUAGUUUUCCAUUGAGCCUAAAAUAAAGCCCAUAUUCAUGACCAUGGUUGAGAAGGCUCUGUAUCACUACCCCGGUCUACAUCUCCGGCCUCAUCUUACAGCACUCUCACUCUUGACUCGUGCUACAGUUUGCUCUUGGGUCCCUGAAUGGGACAGGGAAACUUCCUCCUGGUAGCCUUUUGCUCCAAAAGAGAUCCAGUCCCUCUGCUACAUGCUCCUGCAGCCCUCAGGGUAUCAUCUCUGUAGCCUUAACCACCAUUGUAAAUAACUGUUUUGGUAUUACUUGCUUGUUAUCUGCUUUAUCUCUUUCCUAGAGUCACCAUGAGAGCAAGGAAAACCAGUAUCUUAUUUACCACUGUAUCUUCAGAAUUGAGCAUGAGUACCUGGCCUAUAGUAUACACUCAACUGUUUGCAUAAACAAAUGAAUAAUAAGAAGUCAAUCAAAAGUAAAAUAUGAGUUCACUAUCAUGACAGCAUACACAACAAACUGUUUUUCUCUAAAUAAGUAGAUUGUGUGCCUUCCCCAAUACCUUUUGCUAGUUCUCUUGGUAGCCAAUAGCAUGCUUUUACAAAGUGACACAUAUUCAGGAUGACUGCCUUGAUUUGUGUUAGUCAACUGCUAUGACACUUAGUCAAGGAAAUUGGCCCAUACGUUGUUUAAACCCAUACUUACCUGCCACUAAAUCUGUGCUGGAUUUUUUUUUUUCUUUUCCUUUUUUUUGCUAGAAGAAAAGAAAUGAAACUGCCCUGAAUUUUCAGUCCUCGUUCUCAGCAUUUGAUCUCUGAGUAUGAUCUCAUGACAGGGUGCACAGCUGACCCCUGAAGAAUAAAGAAAAGUCUACAAAUGUUAAAAAUCAAAAGAAAGCACUUAGAAUUUCAUCAUAUUGAAACUAGAAGAGAUCCCUCCACCCUCCAAAACCUCCUAGUCCAACCUCUCUGCUCUAGAGGAAAUAAAAAGAUGUAACAAAGGGAAGAAGCUUACUUACUGAAGGGAAUAUAGUGAGUUUAGUGGCCUGGGUGAUGUUAGAACACAAGUUUUCUAACCAUCUACUGUCUCUCUUUCUCUCUUAGUAGGCACUAUCCAGUAGCACUCUCUGUAAUGCUGGAAUUGUUCUAUGGCUGUGCCAGCCAAGAUGGCAGCCACUAUCCACAUGUGGCUAUUAAGGACUUGAAAUGUGGCCGGUACAACCGAGGCAAUGCAUUUUUAAUUUAAUUUAAUCUUAAUUAAUUUCAAUUUAAGUAGACACAUACGGUUAGUGGAUACUGUAUUGGAUAACACAGUUCUGGAAUGUGCCAGCUAGGUCAAGGAAAAUAAAACCAGUAACAUCAAACAAUUUUCUAUUAAACUGGAAGACCUUGAAUUACCUGAUAGUAACCUUUCAGGACCGGGAUAACAAAGAAAGAAGGAAAUAAGAUAUGCUUGGUUUCAGUUAAUGGAAAACAACAACAAUUCAAGCUACGAUGCAUAAUAAAGAAGAUGAAUGAUUUCUUUUUUAUAAUUUUUUUUUGUUACGUUUAUUUUUGAGAGAGACAGAGAGUGAGUGGGGGAGAGGCAGAGAAAAAGAGGGAGACACAGAAUCCAAAGCAGGCUCCAAGCUGUAAAUAGAGACUGACGCGGUGCUUGAAUUCAUGAACCAUGAGAUCCUGAGUGGAAGUUGGACACUUAAUCCACUGAGCCACCCAGGUGUCCCAAAAAUGAAUGAUUUCUUAAAGGUUGAGAGUUCACAGUAGUGCAUCCUACGGCAGGCUCUCCACAAUGGAUCAAGCAUAGCUGCCCACAGCUGUCUCAGUUAUGAGCUUCUUCAUCCACAUAAUGGCAACAGAAAGAACUGUUUUGAUUUCUGUCAGAUGAGCAAGGAAGUUUCUUUUUCAGCUUCCACUAGCAAACCACUUCUCGUAUGGCUUUAAUUUAACUUGGGUCACUUACUGCUCCUGGUAAUCAAUGCCUUGAGCCAGGUACAUUGCUUGGCCGAGGGAAAAAAGAUCAUAUUGCUAGGCUUAGAGCCACACCACACUCUCCAAGCCCAAAUCAAGAAAGAAAUCAGUUUCUGCCAGAAGAGUUGCAUGGAGUGAGAGUACCCCAAUCCAUCCACAUCUGAUUGGAUCAGGAAAAUAAAACACCUAACUCAAAUAAGCAUCAACCAUAGUUUGGCCACGGAUCUGGAAAUGAAGAGAAAAGUGCAGUUUCCAGAAGUUCCGAGAUCCAUUCUUAGAGCCAUGCUUGGAGCCCAGAGAUUGGCGCUUAGAUAUUCAAGUAUUUGUUGAAGGAAUGAAUGAGUGAAUGAAUGAACAGAGGCUUCGUGACUUCAAGAGACCUCAGUGUAGGAGACUUUCACUCUAUGUCUUGCUUUCACCAAUUAUGCUACAGAUACCUGUCCAUUGCCUGGUUUGUGAUUGCCAGUUUAUUUAUUAACCUAACAAAAUCUCCACCCCAAAGCUUCCCUUGGAUCUUUCCCCCUUAUUGAAAAAUCUGUGUCCACCCACAAGCUUACCAUUAGUUUCAGAAUGAAUUUCCUCUCAUGAUAGUUUGAUACUAUUUUCUCCAUACCUAGCCUCCAAGGGAUAAAGGGGUGGGGGGAACCAGAGAUUGCUUUUUUGUGCUUUAAAUUAAAGAUAAAUCAUCAGACUUCUUAAAAAUUAAAUUUAAUAGUCUAUCAUUUUCAUUCAUACAAAAAAAUAUUUUUUGAGUUCCUACUGUGUGCCAGGUAUAAGAGCUGUGGAUACUCUGAGGAUGCAAACCAACCAGACAAGAAUCCUUGACCUUGUAGAACUUAAAUUCCAAAGGAGGGAGCCAGUAGUGAGCCAAACAGACAACUAAAACACAGGGUGUAUUAGGAGGUGAUAAACAGCAAGAAAAGAAACAAAGAACAGCAGUGGGAUAGGCAGUGAUGAGGGCAGGGUGCAAUUUUUAAUGGAUAGGGUGCUUAUGGGUUCCAUUACAGCCCAUCACAAAGGUACACUGAAGUCCUAACCUCCAGUAUUUCAGAAUGUGACACGAUUUAGAAAUAGUCUUUGCAGAUGUCAUUAGUUAAGAUGAGGUCAUGCUGGUGUGCACUUUGUAAUGGAAGCCCUAGGAAACUAACAUAGUGGAGGGGCUGGGAGAAUCCCUCAACUGUGAGGAUGACAUCUAAGAAAAGACUUGAAGUUGGUGAUCAAGCCACAUGUGUGGCUAUCUGGGGGAAAGGGAACAAAAACUUCAAAGGCAAAGCAGUAGGAGCAGACUUAGUAUAUUCAUGUGGCUACAAGGAGGCCACAGUGGCUGGGGUAGGGUGAGGAGAGGGGGUAUAGUCAAUGAAAUCCAAGGGUAAUGAGAUCUAAAUACCAUAGAGUCUUAUAGCACAGUAGUGCUCAAACUUUAGCUGGGUAUCAUAAUUACCUGAUGGACUUGUUAAAACAUAGAUUGCUGGGCCCACCCCUAGACCCCCAGACUUUCUGAAUAAGUAGAUCUGGGGUCAAGCCUAAGAAUAUGCAUGUCUAACACAUUUCUGAAGCCGAUAUUUUUGGUCCAGGGACCAUCUUUGAGAAGCAUGGUUGUGGAGCAUCAUAAUGACUUAGAUCUUUGUUCUGAGUUAAGAUACAAGCUAUUACAAGGUCAAAGCAGAGGAGUGACAUGAUAUGACCUCUAUUUUAGCAGGAUACUGUGUUCAUGGGUUGGGAAUAGGCUCUAAGAGGUGACAGGUAGAAGCAGAGAGACCAGUUAUGACAUUAUUGAAAUAAUGUGAAGCAUGUAUUUAAAAGUUGAUAUGAAAAAUUAACAACACAAAAAAGAGCAGGUGUUGGUGAGGAUGUGGAGAAAGGGGAACCCUCGUAUAUUGUUGAUGGGAAUGCAAAAUAGUGCAACCACUCUAGAGAACAGUAUGAAGGUUCCUCAAAAAGUUAAAAAUAGAACUACCCUAUGAUCCAGCAAUUGCACUAUUAGGUAUUUAGCCAAAGGAUAGAAAAAUACAGAUUCAAAGAGGUACAUGCACCCCAAUGUUUAUAGCAGCAUUAUCAACAAUAGCCAAGCUAUGGAGAGAGCCCAAAUAUCCAAUGACUGAUGAAUGGAUGAAGAAGAUAUGAGAUACACACACACACACACACACACACACACACAAUGGCAUACUACUUAGCCAUCAAAAAGAAUGAAAUUUUGCCAUUUGCAAUGAUGUGGAGGGAGCUAGAGUAUAUUAUGCUAAGGGAAAUACGUCAGUCAGAGAAAGAUAAAUACCAUAAGAUUUCACUCAUCUAUGGAAUUUAAGAAACAAAAUAGAUGAACAUAUGAAGGGGGAGAGAGAGGGAAACAAACCAUGAACAACUCUUAAAGAGAACAAACAGGAUUGAUGGAGGGAGGUGGGUGGGAGAUUGGCUAGAUGGGUGAUGGGUAUUAAGGAGGGCAAGUAAAUACAAACUGGGUGUUGUAUGUAAGUGAUGAAUCACUGAAUUCUACUCCUGAAACCAAUAUUUCACUGUAUAUUAACUAACCAGAAUCUAAAUAAAAAAUUGAAAAAAAAUAAAAGUAGAUAUCACCUAGUAUGUGUUACAUAUGACCCAGGGUUUUUUUGGAGAGGGCAGGAGCAUGUGGGUUAGUCCACAGAAAAUGAAUAUAUAACUAAGAGACCUAAGUUACCUGGUGCCUUGAGAGCUUGGCAUUCUUAGAGGACAACUCUUAUUUAAUAUGAGUUAUAUUACCUCUGAGCAGCACUACCUUCCCUCUUGUCACCUCCAUGCACAGCCAAUUCAGCAAUCAAGGCCAUGUCACAUCUUGAAAUUUUUAAUGGGCUCUGUAGGCCAUCCACUGGAGUUUUGAAUUCUUGGAUUGCUUUUAAAAGAGAAAAAGGUCUCUUUCCUCCAUCCUAACACCAACCCAGAAUUCUUUGAAUUUUAAGAGUUUUUGCUUGAGUAGCUAAUGAGGACUCUAAUACAUAUGUCCUGUUAAGGCUCUCAGAUCAUUCCCACAAUGACCUUUAAGAAGGUCCUAAAAUAGAUUAGAAUAUAUGUAUCUUUUUAUAUAAAGCCUAAACCUUACAGUGGAAGAAAUUUCAAAUGUGAAGAAUGAAACAAAAUACUAGGGUUAAUAAUGACCAAAAAGUAAUAUUUAGAAGGAAUAAUACAUCCAACCUUUACAGAGCAUUUGAUUUCUAUUAUCACAUUCUUUUUUCACUCAGUGUGUGCUCUCACCUUCCUAUUGAUCUAUCAUCUUGACAAGACGCUCAUAACAUCUACCCAGACUGCUUCAAAACAUAAUGGUUUUAUUUCUUGACUGUUUGAAAGACAUUUUUAUUUUGUAAUUGUUUUUUUAAAGACCUUGACUUAAAAAAUGAAGUCUUUUUAAAUAACCAGAAUCCUGGAGAAAGACAUAGCCUUUCUGCUGCAAGAGAAAAAGUGAAGCAUCCUCAAAGUCUUAUCUAGACCAAUGGAAUGCUGACAUACUCUAUCAUUAGCUAUGUGACCCUAAGGUAGAAAUUAACUUCUGUUUUUCAGCGUCCAUAUCACUAAGUUAAGGGAGUUUGGACCAAAUCGUGAAGGCCCUAGGAAGCUGGAGAAUUUGCUGAUUUAAACUGUACCAUUGUAGCCUAGAUUUAUUUUGGCUUAAAAAAAAAAGGGAAGGGGCACCUGGGUGGCUCAGUCAGUUGGGUGUCCGACUUCGGCUCAGGUCAAGA
Long non-coding RNA from Neofelis nebulosa (Clouded leopard), 7073 nucleotides. RefSeq lists it as uncharacterized. The record is from RefSeq and is a predicted model, not a curated record. NCBI's taxonomy places the organism in Eukaryota, Metazoa, Chordata, Mammalia, Carnivora, Felidae. The transcript has 4 exons.